This 39458-nucleotide long non-coding RNA is filed under the name Capsicum annuum. RNAcentral's name for it is "long non-coding RNA (CANN_LNC016467)". The record is from RNAcentral. Lineage: Eukaryota; Viridiplantae; Streptophyta; Magnoliopsida; Solanales; Solanaceae.
UUCGUUUGAGGUAUGGUGUGAGCUACAUAGAAUUUACCUUCUCAAGACAUUAAUUAAUGAAAAUACAAUGAAUAUAUUAUUGUUGUUGAGUAAAAGUUCACUCGGUAUUAUGUUGUUGGUUCUUCUGAGUUUGUCAUUUUUAGUCUCCAUCAAGUGUUUAUUGAACCCAAUUUGCUAGUUUUGAUGAAAAUUAUGAGAAAAAAAUAAUAACUCGAUGGAAUUCAAGAAGUGGGUCAAGGAGAGUAGAAUGUAUCACUGUACUCUAAUUUUAUAGCUACCUCGUAGCAGUAGUUUUUGAUAACCCCCAAUUUAAAAUAAAAGAUAGAUAGAUAGAUAGAUAAGAAAAGAAACAACAGAACUAUAAGUCGUAAUAAUAAGAAAAUAAUAUAAAAUAAAUAGGAAAGAAUAAUAAUAUUAAUAAAAUAAUAUGAUAAUGAAAACACGCAUACACAUAGAUCAAGCACAGAUGAUAAUCGAAAUCGAAUACCAAGUAUGAGAAAAAAGAAAAUUAACCCAACUCUAGACAUAUAAAUCUGUAGUAUGUACUGAUUUUAAUUUAUUUCUAAAGCCUAGUACAAAUCUUUAAAGUGUAAAUAUCUCGCAUUUCUUUUAAUACCUUUCUUAAAUCUUUAUUUGGUCGAAUUUUUGGUAAGUCGUAACAAUAAGAAAAUAAUGUAAAAUAAAUAGGAAAGAAUAAUAAUAUUAAUAAAAUAAUAUGAUGAUGAAAACACGCAUACACAUAGAUCAAGCACAUAUGAUAAUCGAAAUCGAAUACCAAGUAUGAGAAAAAGGAAAAUUAACCCAACUCUAGACAUAUAAAUCUGUAGUAUGUACUGAUUUUAAUUUAUUUCUAAAACCUAGUACAAAUCUUUAAAGUGUAAAUAUCUCGCAUUUCUUUUAAUACCUUUCUUAAAUCUUUAUUUGGUCGAAUUUUCGGUUUAUGUAUAAGUUAUAAUUAAAAAUAAUUUCAAUAUAACUAAUUUUACUAUUAAUAAAUUCAGUAUUAUUAAGACGGUCUAGACUCUAUUCAGUAUUAACUAUUAAUAGUAUUAUUUUCAGGGGUAAUUUGGUAGAGUGUAUUAAAAAAAUAAUGCAUGCAUUAAUCUUAUGUAUUAUUAAUAUUUUGUUUGGUAUAUUUUUUAGUCUAUGUAUAACUAAUGUAUUGCUUUAAUUAUAUCAGUGUGUAUUGAGGUGUGUAUUACUAAUACCUCAAAAUUCAUGAUAUCAGUAAUGUAAUUUAUCUAACGCAUGCAUUCGCGUGAUUAAAGAUAUAAUUAUUCCUUAAAUUUUUUUUGCAUCCUUUUCAACAUAUAUAUGAAGGUUAUUUUUGUAACAAAAAUAAAUAAAAAUGAAUAGAAAAGAAUAAUAAUGUUAAUAAAAUAAUAUGAUAAUGAAAGCACACACAUAAAUCAAGCACAGGUAAUAAUCGAAAUUGAAUACCAAGUAUGAGAAAAAGGGAAAUUAGCCAAACCUCCUAUUUAGAGGUAUAAUUUUGUGGUAUGUGCUAAUUUUAAUUUAUUUCUAAAGCAUAUUCGGUAUUAGUAGUAUUAUUCUUAGGGAUCGUUUGGUAGCGUAUAUUAAAAAGAUUAAUACAUGCAUUAGUCUUGUACAUUAUUAGUACUUUAUUUUGUUACAUUUUUUAGUUUAUGUAUAAUUAAUGCAUGCAUUAGUUAUAUUCUUUAUUGUGUAUUGAGGUGUGUAUUACAAAUACCUUAAAAUUCAUGGUACUAGUAAUGCAAUUGACCUAACGCAUGCAUUAACAUGAUUAAAAACACAAUUAUACCUGAAAUUUCUGCAUCCUUUCCAACAUAUAUAUGAAGGACAUUUUUAUAUAUAUAAAAAUAUUUUAAAAAUUAUGUAAUUCAUGUGAUUUUUAAUACAUCAAAUUAAACAGUGUAUAAAUAAAAUAUAAGUAUAAUUAAUAUAACUAUUAUUAAUAUAGAUUUUAUUAAUAUAUUAUAAUUUGUAUUGUUUUUAUACGCUCUACCAAACGACUGAUAUGGAGUCCAUGAAAGAUACCUUAGUUGUCUAGUGUAAUUAUUUUCUCAAACAUAAGGGAUCAUUUUUGUCAUGUUUUCAUAGGACAGCUAAACUUUUGCUUUUUGUCUUUUAUUGACCCACAAAAAAGGGACUAAACAGGAAUUUCCUCAAAAUUGAGUGGAGGAUUUUGUAAAUACAUAGUUUUCAUGGUACUGGAAAAGACAAAUAGUGAAAAUGACCCAACCACUACCACUUGAAAAAGUAACAUGGAUUUUCAUGCUGUCUACUCAAUUUCAAAGCUUGUCUCCAAUCCCCCACUAGGAAUUAGUCAUAAAAACAAAUUUUAUGCUUACUAUAUAAUUUUAGUGAAAUUGUAUAUAUAAAUUUAUGAUUCUAAGUUAAAAGUAUUAGAUUUAGAUGAAUCUGUAUUUUAUUAUAUUAUGUUUUUACCUAAUUCAGUUCUUACCAAAACUUUUCAUAUUCAUAAUUUGAACACAAAAUUUCUAACUUAAUAUAAAAGGAUUUUAUUCAUUUUAUCGUAAAUGUUGAUGAUUUAACUAUUCAAUUUUAUAUAACCUAUUAUUACACGAAUAAUUAAAAAAUGUUUUUGUUUUUAUUUUUUGAGAAUCUUCGAGGAAAAUUUGCAUGAGUUAUUCUUCGGGUGUUUAUUGAGUAAAUUUAUUUAUGUGUAAUAGUUUACAAAUUACACAAAAGAUUAGAUUAACUACAUUACGAAGACAUUAACAGGAAAAGUUAAUCUUUAAUCUUCCUCAUAAAAUAUCGCAUAUUGUAUCGACUCAACCAUCAAAUUUUUUGUUUUGAUUAUUACACUAUUUUGAAUGUUUUCUAAAUCGCUUUUAAGUAUAGAAUUGACAUUACUUUUUGUAGUUUGUAAUAAUUAUGUGCAUUAUAUUCCAAAAAAUAAAAACCAUUAAAUAAUCAAUGCAAGACAGAGAUUUUCUCAAUAAUUAUGUGCAUUAUAUUCCAAAAAAGAAAAACCAUUAAAUAAUCAAUGCAAGACAAAGAUUUUCUCAUUUGAUCAGUUGCACUUAGGGGUGGUUUGAUAGAGUGUAUAAAAAUAAUGUAAAAUAUGGUGUAUUAGUAAUGCUUGUAUUAAUAAUGCUUGUGUUAGUUAUACUUGUAUUUUUUCUUAUGCAGUGUUUGGUUCGAUGUAUUAAAAAAAAUAUGAAUUACAUAAUUUUUUUUAAUUUUUUUUUUUACAUAAUACCCUCAAUAUAUAUGUUGGAAAGGAUGCGGAAAUUUUUUUGAGGGGUAAUAGGGUCUUUAAGCAUGUUAAUGCACGAAUUAGAUCCAUUGCAUUACUAAUGCCAUGGAUUUUGAGGUAUUAGUAAUACACACCUCAAUACACAAUAGAGUGUAUAAUUAAUGCUUGCAUUAGUUAUACAUAGGGUAAAAAAGUAUAACAAAUAAGGUACUACUAAUACACAUUAAACUAAUGCAUGCAUUAACAUUCCAAUACACUCUACCAAACGACCCCUUAGCACCUUUAUCCAUCGAGAAAACAGUUCUCUUGAGCGUGUAAUUGUAUUUUUUUUAAUCCAAAUCAUAUAAUUUUUCGAUAAAGUGAGUUCAGUUUAUCAAUAUUCUUUGGUCUAUGUAGCUUUGUCACUGCCUAGUUUCACGUACCAACAUAUUAAAAGAAUAAUGUAAAUCGAUGCUACACCUUAAACUAGGACUAUGUAUAAAAAUGAAUCCAAAUCGAUGUAACACCUUAAACUAGGAAUAUGUAAUUAUCAUUAUAUACUCUCUAAUCAUAUGGUUUACAUUUUUGUAUUUCGUUAAAUGUGAGGUUCUACAUGUGAUAUCAUAUGAGUAGUGCGUGUGUUCGAAUAUGUUCUCACACGGUUGGAAGGGGCACCCGUCGAGUUAGAUAGAACAAAAUAGGUCUAAUUAGAGUAUGAUUAAAUUUAAUUUGCACAUUAUAAGACUCAUCUUUUGGGACGACGCCCUCAACAUAAUUUUUUUCAUUUUAAAGUAUUUGAAUAAGAAAACUCAGACUAAGAAUGGAGAUAUCCUAAAUCAUGUACCCGACCACAAUUUUUCAUUUUUGAUGUUAUACAUGUGUCCUAUGGUUGCUCAACUAACUAUUUUUACUUUUUACAGUAUUUUUGGACUUUUCACCAAAUUUUGAUAAUUUUAAUAGUUAAUUGAAAUCAGAUUAAAGUUGAAUUCACGCGAAAAAUGUACUUAACAAACAAAUACUUACUCUUACAUUUUACUUGUGACUCGAAUAUCACAAAUAUAAAUUAAAGUGUCUUUCCAUAUUAAAUGCAUUUCUUUUGCUUAAAUGUAACUUUUUCAUAGAGAUCACAUGGAAAGAACAAUAAUAUUGGUCCAGUGUACAGAAAACUCCUUUUGUUGUUCUCUUUGAGUUGUUGCAAUGCCUGCUCUUAACUAACUUUACAGUCUGCCACAAAUGGUAUAUUUGCUGACAAUGUAUAUGAUUUCAGUAUGUACUAUUUUAUUUUACCUUAAUUAGUAACUACAUUUUCCAAAACAUAACCUUAAUUAGUAAACACAUUUUUCAAAAAAAAAAAUUGUCUUUUUUCAAGUGGAUGUUCAGUUGAUUUUGAAGUUGGUUUAGCCAUAAAUCUCCAUUAGUGUAAUAACUGUCCAAAUCAUUUGCAACACUGUAUUCUUAUUUGAGUAACCAUUAGACUUCUACUUCAAGAUUGAACCUAAACCAAUUUAAUUUUUCUCCAUUUUACUCAAUUAUAUUGGCCAUAGCCCAUAGGUAUCGAGGUACCCUCAGCUCAAGUAAUAUAAGUUGUGAUAUUUGUGGUAGCAAGGUUGGAACUUAGAAUGUUGUUGGUCGAAGUUGUUCCCUAAUCCCCCGAUCACCUUUGACUUCAUAUCACAAAAGAUCAGUCAUGAAAGAGACAUCACGAUUAUCCUUUCUCAUAAUAUAUCGGCUUUGUUAGAUAAUUUUGAUCACUAUGGGUGUGUUUGGUAUGAUGGAAAAUGUUUUCCUAUUUUCUUUUGUUUGGUUGUAGUAAAAUAUUGGAAAAAUGUUUUUCAAAAUAACUCAUUCUCCUCUAUUUGAGGGAAAAUGACAAAUGUGACUUAAUUAUGUCCCCACCCCAACAACACUUAAAUUCACAUUACUCAAAAAAAUUACAUUACUCAAAAAUAUUUUUUACUGUACUUUGCUUUAAUUUUUCACUGCUUAAAAUAAAAAAUAGUGAAGCUCGAAUUUUUCCCUUUUUUAAUGUUCGUUGAAUGUACUGUUAUUUCCAUAUGCAUAAAGGAAGACUUACCUAUGUUACUUUUUCUAACUGCAUAUUUAAUUUUGUCAUCGAUGUAGCUUAUUUCACAAGGUUGAAUAAGCUUGUCGUUCCGUUGUAUUUCUAUUGAUUGUAGUAUCUUGAGAUUGUCCUGACAAAAUGUUGAAAAAUGUCUCCUAUAUUUGCUAAUUAGUUAUUGCUUAAAUUUUAGUGACUUGUAAUAUUUUAGUACUCGAUAUUGAUAUUAUUUGCUAUGCAUAAAUUAGUUCUUACAAAUUGUUAAGUUGUUAGAGGCAGUGAUAUACUAGUUAACAGUUAGUACUAUUUUCUAAAAAAAAAAAUUUUCACUCACCAACCAAACACCAUAAAAAAAAUUUCGAAAAAUAUUUUCCACUCACCAACCAAACAUGAGAAAAUAAGUAGAAAAUCAACUUAUUUUCGAGGAAAAUAUUUUCCAUUCCAUCAUACCAAACACACCCAAUAAUUUUGAUCACUAUAAGCUUGUUUAAGAUUGCAAACUCGAUCGAUAUAAUUAUCUGAAUUAGGUUUCUUUCAAUAAGCCAAAAAAGUUUAUACUCUAUAAGCAGGCUCUAAAGGGGAAAAAAGGGUAUGAAAAUGGGUGUUAGCUCGCUCUUUUUGACAGAUAUGUCCACCUUUCCAAUUUGGAUUUGCAAAAGAAGAAUCUUACUUAUCUUAUUAUUUUUUUUAAACUUUAUUCUUCUAUAUAUAUGUCAUCACUUUUUUCCCUUUUCACUUUCCUUGAAAUAUAUAAAUGUUUUACAUUUUGUUUUACUAGGGAUAAUUGGUUGGUAUGAUUUGGUCAAGCGUGUACUAAAAGAUGUUCUUAAAUUAUGUAAUGACAAAGUUUAAUGGGGCUUAAUCUUUUAUUUCUUCUCGUAGUGGAGACCAUUUUCUUCUUGACCCUUCAAGAUUCAAAUUGCAUAUAAAAUUCUCUUAUGAUUGAUGGUUGAGAUUGAAUGAUCACGAUGGAUAAUUUAUAACUUUGAAAAGAAUGGGAAACCGAAAUGAUUAAAAAAGUAACAAUUAUAUAACAGAAAUAGAUUGAAAACUACAACAACAUGUCCAACAUAAUCUAAGAAGACGUGAACAGAGAAUUUAGUCCUAUUUUGUGAAGAUUGAAAAAUUAUUUUUCUUAGGACCGGUUUGGAAAACUAUCCUUGAAAUUAAAUUUGAUGUAAUUGGGUGUAAUUAUAUUUGGCAUGUCUGGUUAACCAAGUAAUUACUUGAUCAACAGGUAAUUGAGUGUAAUUAGAGGUAAGUACCCUCUCGAAUCCAGGUAAUUACACAUCUUUAAUGGCAUUGGUGGGUGAUCAAUCCGCACCUAAAUGAAAUGAUUUUCGCAUGCUAAUCAAUUGAUUACUCGUGCUAAAUUAUUUGAUUAGCAUGAUAUCAGCCAUUAAAAAUGGAAACUUUUCACCUAUAAAUGGGGUUCCUUUGAUAUUGUAAGUCUAUAUAUUUGUUGUGCAAAAUACUUAAUUGUUUGAAACUUGGGAAAUCUAAUCAGAACGUUGGAGAACAAAAGCUCCUUAAUGUGAAAAAUAAAGGAUGGAAUUAAUCAAGUAAAGGGGAAUAAAGUGAAUAAAAAUUCCCAAUUGUAUUAAGGAUUAAGAAAAAUUAGAAGUCCAAACAAAGAAGGAAUAAGUUGUAUAUAACUACGUACUGAUACCUACUAGUGUCUAAUAUUUUUGUUCUGCAUUUAAGAAAUUUAAAUUUUUAGGUUUCAUUUGAAGAUUUUCAAAUUUUUAGAAAUUUGAAGAUUUCAUUAAAAAAAAAAUUUCUUUUACAAUUUUAGCUUUAUAUAUAUAUGUAUAUAUAUUUCCUCUGGUUAUAAGAUGUUUCAGUUCACCAGGUUGUCUCUUGCCUGCCCAUGGAUUUAGCAGCAGUUCGAAAGGUUGCCCUAUUUGGAAAUCUUCGAAUCUAUGCUUAUUUUCAACUCCCCGAAACAUUUCGUCGAUUACUACGCCCUUCCUUGUCUCUGGUGCCUAGCUCCACUAUAAGUCUUUCCUCGUUUGAACCUCGCCAUUCACUUUUAAGACUAUGUCAUCCUAAGAUGUUGCUAAAUGGAUGGACCUCAUCAACGUCCAUCAAUGAUAAAUCAUAGAUUGAACUGAAAAUAUAAUAAUACAAUGCAUCUUUUUUUCUUAUAUUUUCUUUUCAAAAUACAAAAAUACCCUUGCUUGGAUUGGAGGUAAGUUCACCAACUGUCUUGGAUUGGCCAGUAAUCUAACUAUUUGUUCAAACGUACAAAACAAACUAAAAUAUAAAAUAUACUGAAAUAAUAAAAGUUGCUUAACUAAAAAAUACUUAUUAAUAACCAUUAUCUAUGUUUUGGCCUUUUAUGUUUGUAUCUUUUCGGAUCAAUGAAAAAGCUUAUGCUCUAGCAUGCAAUAACGAGGAAAUGACAAAAAUGGUGCUGUAUUUAUAUGGGUGGAUAGGUUUAAAAUAAUUAAAAAUUAUACAAAUACACAACUUAUAUUAUCAAUAUUAUAAAAAAUUUCAACUCCCUAAACAUAUUACAAAAAUUCCAACAUAUACAUAGAAUGCUAUGUAUAUGUCGGCUAUAUUAUGUAUAUUAAUAGGGAGAGAGAGUAAAGUAAUUAAAAAAUAGGAGAGAGUGUAAUUACUUUCAAAAGGAUUGGUAUUUAUGUUGUUUAUACAAAUAUUUUCUUAUUUUAUGUACUAAUUAAUACCUUUUUUCUUUAAGUUUUGACCAAAGCUAGCACUUUUAAUCUCCUCUAGAUAUUUGACAAUUUAAAUUUGUUAGAUUUCACCGAAACAAUGAGAAAAAAAAGUAUCAUAAAUAUCAAAACAGUCUCAUUAAAUUCUAAAAUAUGUAAGACAGAGAAUUAUACAAGACACUAAAAAACAUAGCUUUUGAAAAGUACUAAUUGUUUGGAUUAUGUGUUUGAGAUUUGAGAAAUUUGCUUUUGAAAAUAAAAGGUUUUGUGGAUAAUAGGUUGAUUUAUGUAUUUAUGGUUUUGAAAAGUACUUAAUUCCUUCCAUUCAUAAUAAAUGUUCUUUCAAUUUUUUCUUUUUGGUCCAAAACAAGUGUCAUUUUUCAUAAUAAAGAAAAUAUCAAUUGUUUUUUUUUUAAUUUACCCCAAUUUAAAUAAGUGAGUUUUAUUUUUUAUUUUGCAUCGAGAAACUAUAUUAAUUAGCAAGGAAUCGCUUAAUUAAGGAUAGAUUAGUUAGACUACAUAGUUUUUUAAUAAUUAAUAUUUUCUCAAGGAAUUUGCCAAAAAUUAUAGAAACGCUUAUUAUGAAUCAAAAGAAGUAUAUAUAAUAAAAAGAAAUUAGAUAACAUAUUUUAAAUACCUUUUACCCUACAGUAUGUGCUCUAUGCACUCAGGGUACCUUCAUUAUCAAGCAACUUAUGGAAGUAUCUAGAUUUUUAUUAUUUUAGUGUUUCCCAAUUGUUAAUUUUCUGAUUAUUUUUUUUGAAAAAUAAUAAAUAGGGUGAGGGGUCCAAAAUUUUAAAUUAAAUAAGGGUUUUGACUUAGAUAUUUUUAGAAGUCAUAUUCUCUUAGCUCAACAGAAAGCAACGUUGAAAAUAAUGUAUUAAUAAAUUUGACAAGUUGAAUUAAAUACUUAAUUUGUUUUCAUUUAAUAAAGAAUAAUAAAAGAUUCUAUUGCCGGUAUAUUUGCAGUUGGCAACCAUACAUUUUUGAUUCUUUUGGGUUUACCUAUUUCUCUACAAAUGAUUUUUCGUACCAAAAUAGAUUGGUUUGUUAAUAAAAUUAUAUAUGACCAAUAAGAGGGCUAAUUUCACUAAUAUUUAAUUAGCUAAUAUAGAUAAGUUAUUUGGUGUUACAUGAUAUCCAAUAAGUUGUCUAAUCAAAUGCAAGAGUCAACUCAAAUAAUAAUCAUUUGAAAUGAUCCUUUUUAUCGACGAAUGCGAUAAAAUAAGUCGCCUUCCUCUGAAUAAUAAUAGUUCGUCUUCUGCUACUUUAUUUUAAACACUAUCUAUAAGAUGAAAUUAGUUUUUAUAUUCUAUUAGUAGAUGUAACCCUUAGAACCUAUCUAAGGGUGUUUGCUACGUUCUUUGAUUUCGUUCUCUCGUUCAUGUCCAUAUUAGGUUGGGCUUUUCUCCGUAUAUAAGGUCCUUCUAUCGGGCAUAAACAUCGUUUUAAUUUAUUCGGCUCUGUCUUAGUGUAUCUCGAUUAGGAUUGCUCUCAUAUCUACGCCAUCGUGAUCGACUUUUUUAAUUAAUUAUGUAUUGGUUAAAAAACAAGAUGAAAUUUUGAAAUAUUUCAAAAGUAUUCAGUUGACCAAACACUAUUUUUUUAUUUAAGAACUCACAAAAUUGCUGGUGAAUGACUCAUCAGUCAAUUAUCUAUAAGAAAAUUAAUUGAAUUGCAUCAUCUAUAUAUGGGGGUUGAGCUGCUUUUGUACAUGAUUUAAGCUAAAGACCUAAUUUGGUCAACCAAUUAAAUGUUGACUUGACCCUCCAUGACUACUGGAUCUUUCCAGAAUUUGUACACAUAUUUUUUCUUCAUAAUUAGGUCGAAUUUUACUUAUGAUAUAUACCUUCAAUGAGUGAAGUUUGAUUUCGACUUGACAGUUUCAACUCAUGGUACCUCCGUCCAAUUUACUCCUUUUCAAUUCAAAAUUAACUCAAAAUAUUUUUUUUUAAAAAAAAAAAUUGGGAUUUACAAUAUAUUAAGUCAUGAAAUCUUUGUUAAUCACAUCGAACAAAGCCUUUGAAGCAGAAGAAGAUGAAGAAUGAGUGAAGAAAAAGCAAUUUAUUCGAAGUUCACCUAGAUUGGAUACAAACUUUGUAAGAAAAAUUGAAUACAAGUUAAAUAAAGACAGUCAAAUAGGACAAAGAAAUUUUCAUGCUAGUGACUAAACAAAAUUCAUGGAUUUCUUGAUGAGCUCAUUCUAGCCAGUCUAACUACAGCUCAUAAUCGAAAUAUCAAAACAAAAAACAAUUGUAAUGACAUGUUUACUAAUUAAUAGACCACAGUUCAACAAAAUUUAUACAACAAAAUAGAGUAUAACUAUACAUUUUAUUCUUUUUAACUAAUUUAAGCCAGUACAAGUGUAUAAUCAAUGUAUAACCGCACGCUAAUCAUACAUAUAUUGUGCACUUGUUAUACACUAAAGAUGGUGAUUGUAAACUAGGAGCAAUAACAUAAACAUACAGCUUAAAUUACCAUUUUUAUACAAAAUUCCAUCCUUACUAAGUAAUUGCAAAAAUUCCAACUAAUUAUGUAUUUUCAUUGGGUGUAUCGGGAGCUAAUUAUGCAUAAAUAAAAAUGUAUAGGGUGCUAAUUAUGUAUCUUUACAAAGGAAAAAAUGUAUCUUCAUUGGAUGUAUCGAAGGAUAAUAAUGUAUCUCGACAGACUCAAAAUUGAGAGUUUCAAUAAAUAUGCAAAAUGUCGAAAAUUUCUGUAAUUAAACUCCAAACAGUUAGAAUAUAUGUUGUUUUCCCUAUAAAUUAUUACGGCUAGACAGGUGGAAAUGUAUAUUUAGCCGACUAGCUAAAAAUGCUGGAAAAAAUACAUAAAGUAGUAUACUUAAAUAUUAAAUUAUAAAAAAUAACAACACUUUUAUCAAAUUACAUUUUGUAGCACAUGUAUUUGUAUUUUUGUAGGAACAGUUUGCAAAAAUACAAAAUACAUAUCGAUCAUAAGGGCAGUAAAAAUCAUAUGUAUUUGUAUUUUUGUAGCAACAUUUGCAAAAUACAAAAUUCAACUUGCUAUAUUAUGUAAUUAUGAAACUAUUGCUAUGAAAUUCACAAUUAAGGGAAUAAGUAUGCUAUUUUUGAAUUUUGCCCAUAAAUGUUUAGAUCCGAAAUGAAUAUCUAUCGGAUCGAUGGCAUGAUGGACCUAAACAAUAUCACAGCUGCAUCUUUGCAGGGCCCAGCCCAUGUAUGGAUGUGUAUGGGCUGCUUAUUUACGCCCAUUUAAGACGUAAGGCUUUCAUGCGUAACUAAAUGGGCUUAGGAUAUUUUUGAUUUUUUUAGUUUUUAAAUAUUUUUUUAGAUAUUCUUGAAUUUGAGCUGUUUGGUAAUUUAAAUUCAAAUCUAGCCUUGUUUUACUAUGAAUAUAAAGCCCCCUAUUGUUGUUGAUAGAGGCUCACCGCCCCAACCACCCUUUAUAGUAGCAAUUGUUGUCAUGCUUGAAUUUGUAUUAAAAUCUCUAGAGUUAAAACUCUUUUUUUCUUUUUUGUUAUGACUAGGCCUAGAUCCGAAUUGGCAAAGCAGCCCAAUACCAUAUUGAGUGGCUGCGUUUGGAAUUUGGGUUGAUAAAUAGCAUAAAGAGGGGGGGGUUGCAAAGUGUGAAAACUGCAUACGCAAAGGCUAUACUUCUCAUUCUCAAUUCUCUCUAGUCCUUCUCCUUUUCAUAUUAAUCACAAAGUUUAUUAGUUUCAUUCACUCUGUAUAUUAAUCAAAAUUUAUUUGUUUCGUUCACUCUGUAUAUUAAUCAAAGUUUAUUUGUUUCGUUCACUCUGUACAUUGAUUGUUGAUGUAAGUAACCAAAGUAACCGGUCUUCGAAUGGCAGUGGGGCGGAUUAGAGUGGCAGAGAUAGAUGUUGCCGGAUGGAAAUGAGACAAUCAACGUGAAAAUAAGUGUAGUAAAUUUAUUAUAAGUUUAAAAAUUAAUAUGAAUAUAUUGACGAGGAAUUCUAUUUUUCAUUUUAACAAUGUUUAUUAUAAUUGAGUCAAAAUAACUUCUUUUUAGCUUUCACUCUUUACGCUUAACUAAAGAUAAAGAUAGCAACUUAUCAAAUGAUUUUAGGUUUUAAAUAUAUCCUUUGCUACUCCGACUUUAUAUAUUACUACUAUUUUUACUAAUUUCUAUCAAAUCGUAUUCAAACGUCUCCUUAUAACUAAACCAAUAAUUAAGUCUCUAGCUUGGCAUUCAAACUUACAUUCGAGAGGAAGCUCUUCCCUUUAAAUAAGUUUUACAUGCCUAAAAAUUGUAUUAACCAAUUCAGUAGAUUUCAAAUGUACGUGGGUUAAUAUAACCAAAAAAAAUAAAAUUAAAAAAAAAAUGAUAGCUUUAGCAUUUCUAAACUAAAAAUAAAGAACAAUUUAUGAUGGAUAGUGCUAAAUGACCAUAAAAAUUUGGUCCAAAUUUGGCCACAAUAAUAAAAAGAUUAUAUGAUCUUUUUUCUUUCAAAUAGAUAAAGCUAUUUAAUUUUUAAAGUAAAAGGAUAAAAAUAUCUAAAAGUUAACUAGUUCAUAAUUUGAAUAUAACUUUUUUUUUUUUUAUUGCGGUCAAAUUGUGACAAAAUAAAAUUUCGAGAACAUAAUUCACGUGUACGCACGUGGAAUUAGUGGCGUGCUGGUAAAGCCAGUACUUUAAUCCCCUCCAACACACAAAAAGAACACUAAAUUUAAGAGUUAAUGGUAAAAAAGUAGCGGAUCAAGCAUUUAAGGGUUGUGGAUAUUUAAAAUGCAUGAUCAUGUGUAUCGAUGUUUCAUGCUUUAAUUUUUUGAUUGAAAUUAAAGUAGUAACCAUCUUCUUAAUUUACUGGAUAUAAAUCUAUGUCUUAUACAAAUUUUUAUACAUAUUUUAUAUUAAUUAUACCUAGUUUAAUAGGUGUCAAAAAAAGUCAUAGGUCCGCCCUGAUAAAAAAUAUACCUAAACUAACUUCUUUUAUUGUGUUUCAUAUUCAAAUUAUUAAGUGUUUGUGUUUUGUACUUGAAAUAUUACAAAACACUUAAGCCCUGUUUGACCAUGAAAAUCAUAAUUUUUUGGAGUUGGAGUUGAAAUUGAAGUUGGAGUUGGAGUUGUGUUUGACCAUGAAUAUAAACUAAAGUUGUUUUUGAAAUUUUGUGAGCGAAAUAUGAGUGAAAACAAGUAAAAUUUGUUUUCACUUUUUCAAAUACAAUUUCGAAAUUGUAUUUAAAAUUUUAAUGGUCAAACGCAUCUUGUUUUCAUUUUUUUCACUAAAGUAAAAUAAUUUUUCAAAAAAAAAAAGAAAUAAUUUUGAUGGCCUAACGGCUACCUAAUGAAAUACACUUGAACUAUCAAUUGUUUGAAUUUCAUACAUUAAAUUUUAGGUGUAUUUCACUAGCAACGUGUGUUUAACUAAAUAUUUUAUGAUAUUUCAAAUUGGAAACCCAAACACUUAAUAAUUAUUUAAAUAUGAAUUUUAAAAAAAAUACUUUAGAUGUAUUUUUGAUACUUCACUAAAAAACUACAAAUAUUUGAAGGACACAGAGAGAAAAAAAAAUACUAAAAUUAUUUUAGUGUAAUUUAUGUAUCACAAAUUUAACCAGAAAAAUAAUCAUUAAUUUUUUGUGUUAAUUCCCAAAAUCUAUACGAACGAAACAUGUUUUGUCAAUCGAUUUUUUAUUUUUUUAAAUGACAGUUUAGUACGUAAAAUCUUUCGUUUAGGGUGAAAUUUGGAAAAAGAUCGAGUCACCAAAAUAUAUUAUUAUGUGUAAUCUUAUUUUGUAUUUUUAUUAUUAGUUAUUUCAAUGACUUGAACUUAUGAAUUUCUAAUAACAUGAUAACAACAUUAUCAAUUACUCAGAAGAAAAAAAGCAUAAGAAGUUUAAUGGGACCACAUUAGCAGACUUAAACUUAUAUAUUGACGUAUUUGGUUAUACAGAGACAUGUGAGCCAGCUUUUCCAUAAAUACAGCAUACUUCCUUCGUUUCAUAAUAAUUGAAUUAUUGGAGUAUUUUUUGUGUUUCAAAAUAAAUAAAUCAUUGAAUUUUUUUUUCAAAUUUACACUUGAGGAUUUAACAACUAAGGGGCCCAUCAACUGAAAAGGAAUAAAAUAGAUAUGAUUCUGUACUUUGAACAAGGGUAAAAAUGAAAAGCUGUACUAAAUUUAUGUUUUUAAUAAUUUUUUCUUAAUUUGUGUGUCAAAAUACAACAAUUCAUUUAUUAUGAAACGGAGGGAGUAAUACUUAUAACAAUGUGCUAGGAAAUAUUAUUAAUUUGAAAUUUUUUCGAACAAUAUAUUUGCAAUCUGCAAAUAAGGCCAAUAAAAUGACGUGGAAUAUUUAUGAUAAAUCAUAGAUCCUACCUUAUGACUGUUCACAGUUGAUCCAAGGAAUCUCCACAGAUUAUAAUCAAGAUUAAUGUAAUAUCAAAAAUAUAAUUUUAGCAUUUUAAUGUAAUAAAAACUAGGUUAGCAAAUAAAUUCCUUUGUUCUCAAUCUAGGUAUACUUUAGAAGAUGCCAAGCGUGCCAUCAUAUUACGAUGGAAAAACCUUCCUUCUGAAUUUCCAUAAUCGUGAAUUUAUAUAUAUGUUAUAAAUAGGAAUUAAAAUAUGGACAAUCCAAUGGAUUAAUGAGCAUUUAGCAUAUCGUAAUGAACUUGACUAUUUCCUAAAACUUAUAUAGAAUUUCAAAUAUUUAUAUUCCACAAUAAAAACUGACCGGUUUUGGUGUACUCGAAUUUGACAUACCUUAUUGGUUGUACAUAUGCAGUACAACAGUAGCAAUAAUAAAAAAAUUAUGAAGUAUUGAAAAAAAAAAAGAUAAUCUGGUGCACUAAAAUUCAACAUGUACAACGGAAGCAACAAUUCUACAGGAUCAAUAUAACUUACACAUAAUCUAGAUAACAUAAAUCAUCAAACGAAAUUGAAAAGCUACUUACUUGUUGGAGCUUUCACACAAUUCGUUCACCGCUUUGACCUCCAGAUCUGCAGUCUUCUACUAUAUCCUGACUAACUUUUGCUAUCAAACUUGUGUGGGCAAGUACUUUUUGAAUUCAAAGAAAAUAUAUGAAGAGAUAAUAAUCUUUUGAACAAAAACUUUAUUUAUUCAAGUUUUCACUUAAAAAGGGAAAAGCCAACAGGCAAAUGUUUUUGUCUUUUUAGUUAUCAAAAACGUUUUCUGCCUCUUUAUUAUUUAAAACGUUUUGUGCCAUUUAAUUGUCCAAAACGUUUUCUUAUUUAAAAUCAGAAGAUAUUUUUUCCUUAUAGGAGACCAGUAAAUAAUAUUACUUCUUCUAGUAAGUCUUUCUUUUUUUCAAAAUUGAUUAAUUAAUCAGGUAUAGCAGGAACCACAGAUUUAUUAAGUGAGGCUUCCAAUUAUGAUAUUAAUUCACAAAUGAAUGAAUUACCAUAUCACAAUAAAUUACAAAUUAUUCCACUAAAAAUCUGUAAUUGCACUCCUCGAUUUAAUUUUGAAAUCUACCAUUACAUCUUAUUUAACUCCCCAUGUUAGAAUUACCGACACCAAUCAAUUAAAUUAAAUUCUUGAAAAAUUUAACUCAUUGAUUAAUUUAAUCCUUUAUUUACAAUGCUUAACUUAUUUCACAUGACGGAUACAAAAUUCACCUGCAGAAUUUUCACGUGGAAACUUUAGUGGAUCGACUCUAUUACAUAAGUUAAUUUCUAAUUCUUAUCUCACAUUAUGAGAUAAGUACGCAGUUAUUAUUGUAUCGGCCCAAAACCUCGCUAAUUGAUCUUUACGGUGCUUCCUCUCUCUCUAUCAAUUAAAGCCUUAUAUCCAUAGAAAAAGUUGCUAGGCAUUUUUAUUUUUUCCUAUUUUGACUUCUAUGAAGUUUCUUUCUUUGCUACAGCUGAUAAAAAUCGUUGUUUUAGACGAUGCAUAUGUAGAAAGCCUAUUUGGUUCUAGUAGUUACUUUACUAGAUUUUUCUUUUUUUUCUUUCUAUAGUGGAGAUAGUCGCACGUAAUGACAGAUCACGGCCAUAUUAUUAAAAGCUUGUGGUAAGAAUGGGUUUCGUUCUAGUGCUCGAAAAUAAUAUUCCAAAGCUUUCGUAUGUUCUCCAUUACUUGUGUGGAUAAGCCCUAUAUUAUAGAGUAUAUAACUUCGAUCAUAGGGAUCAAUUUCUAGUCGCAUAGCUUCAUAAUAAUUCUGCAAAGCUUCCGCGUAAUUUUCUUCGGAUUGAGCCGACAUCCGUUACGGUCGUCAUUCAAUUGAAAGAAUCUCCGUUCCAGAACCGUACGUGAGAAUUUCACCUCAUAUGGCUCCUCCCUUAUGUGCAAAAUAGGAUGUUUUCCAUCUCAAGUCCGAGACAUGGUUCUAUCAACUAAUUAAUAUUUUAUUAAGUGAUUCGUCGCCAUCCAACCUAUUAGGAAUAUGUUGACUCACAAAAGAGUCUCACCUUUUAAUAGAUUAAAACGACAAAAUAAACCAUAUAGAUCAUAAUAAUUAUAUCAAGAUUAAGAGUAUAAGUACAUGUAAUGGACUAGAGAAAUCGUUUAUUAAUAUUCAAAACAUAAACGAACGUCUCUAAUUGGUCCGUUCAAUACAUACGAAAUGUACUAGUACAAGAAGUUGGAAUAUUAUCAUUCCCAUAACCAAGAUCAAAUUAUAUUUAAUCUUGUGCUACAAUCAUCAAGAUGUUUGUCCUACCUCAUCUUUGAUUGUGAACCAAAGGUGUCAAAUGGGCCGGCCCAUUUAGGAAACUAGCCCGGUUUGACCGGGCUCGGUUAGCCCCGAGGCAGUAGGGUACCGAGUUCUGAACUGGGCUAAUUUUAUUAUUGGGCCCGGUUAACCCGGCCCGGAGCAAAACCGGUCCAGGCACACUGGUUAACCUGUCCGGCUCGAAUUAUUAUUAUUUUUUUAAAAUGGAAUUUUUGACCGUUAGACCAAAGUAGUCGUUGGGCCCAACGUUUAUAUGGCCGUUUGGACACAAAAACGGCUAUUUUGGCCUUUUUAAUUAAAAAAAAAGUUUUUCCAUUUAAAAUAUUUUUUUAAAACCAAAAAUAAAUCCUAUAAAUACCCUACACUUUCAAAUUAUUUUUCAUACAAUUUUCAAUCUCUCAAAUCUCAUUCUCUCUCAAAUCUCAAUUCUCAAAUAUUCUAUAUAUUUCCUAAAGUUCUCAAUUUAAUUUUUUAAUUUUGCGAUUACAAAGUACGAGUGAAAGUUUCUAAGGUCGCAACUUUCAGAUACUUUUAAAAUUUGGUAUUGUCGUUCCAUCUCUUACUUUUAAUUUUUAAUUAGUGUAUUAAUUGUUGAAUAUUUAAUUUUAUUAUUUUUGUGUAUUUUAAAUGAUAACACCCUGUAUUUCGGAGCAAAGGUUUGAGCUACUAAACGUAUGUAGGGAAUGCAUGGGGACCACUAAAUUACCUCAGAACAUUUCAGGUAAAGUGUAAAGUGUUUAAUUAAUAUAAUUACUAAUCGGUAAAGCGUAAACAUUCUGCGGUGAAUUAACUACAGUAAAAUGUUUUCUUAAUAUAUCCCUAACUGUUGUACAUUUACCUGUAGAUAUGCAUAUAUGUACUAAGUAAUAUAUGUACUAAGUCAACUAGGUAGUAAGGUAUUUAGAAUUGUUUUUUUCAUAGGAAGUUUGGGAAGUUUGAUACGGGAAAAACAACGGAAACACGAAACAACUCCAAAACAGUCCACUAAUCUUAAGGAUUUGAGGACUAAGAUGUAGACCACUCUCGGAUUCACUACAACAACAACAAUACGAGAUAACAACGGUGCAUUUGACACCAAAAACAGCAGCAACACAAUGAUAACAAGAUGAACACAAUGAGAAUAAAUUUCGGAUACAAGAAGAACACAAAACUGUCCACUAUGAAUCUACAAAGUGCAAUAAGAUAAAGAUAGAUAGAUAGACCAAAUGAGGGAAUAAUAUUAACAACCCAAGAAUUGUUACACCCUUGGACCUUUAAUACUACACACAACACUAACCUAUCUCCUACAUAGGCACAAGAGGGAUCUCGAUCUUCCAAGGACCAACGUUUCCAAGCUUGAAUCCAACACGACUGAUUACACACUCAAGUUGAUUUCCCUAGUUACAAUUUUAGAUUUGUGCCUCAAGGAGAGAGGACUUGUCUUUCAUUGUUAUACGACAUUCAUCAUCAUCAAAAUCUGAUGAAUGAAUCCCUAGAAGGUUGUAUUUAUAGUGUAUUACAAGAAUAGUAUGAAAUGUCCCAAAUGACCCCUUAGUCAAAGUCUUCAAGUGCGCUCCCUUGGAGUGCAUUGCAUGGACCGAUUUGGGAGCCUGGUUAGGCCUUCCUUUGCACUUCACUGUAUACUCUAAGUCUCAGGUUCAUUCACUCUCGCACUCACCCACCUCCAUGGCCGUACCCAUAUCAUCCUUUCCUUCUUGAAAAGGAUUCGACCUCGAAUCCGUACUUUGUAAAAUCAAGAUAAGACAAACAAACACACGUCCUCAUGACAUGAGAGGUUAGGGUUAGCAAAAAUAACAAAUCACAUGCCAUGCCAAGGUGGGACAAACUUGGAGUAUACCCAUAGGUCCUUUGUGUUGAACAUAAAAACCUUGGUAUAAAUAGCACAAAGGAAGAGGUCAUCAUCAACAAAAAGAGACAAGGAAGAACCUUGUCUUCCUUUAUUAGCAUCCACAAUCAAACGUUGCUUGUCGUCUUGACCAAGCAUCAAGUAGGAAGUGUAGAAAUUCCCAUAUUCUCGGAAGGUGUCAGGGUCAAAUAGGAGAAGUAGCCAAGGGUCUAAGCCGAGGUUAGCCCUUUCUUCCCCUAGAAUGUCACUCCCACAACCACGUAUGACAUUUGCCUUUAAGAGAAGACUAACAUUCAAGAAUAGAGAGACACGGCCUAGAAGUCCUACCUCAAAAAGACAUAUGUCAUCAUUUACAACAUUUCUAUACACAUGAUUUCUAUGAACAAAACUACUAGCAAGGCUUUUACCACACAAGAUGUUCAAAGAGUCACGUGUACCAUCAAGAUCAACUCUAUAAACACCAUCACUAACUUGAGAUUUUUUAAGCACGCCACACUUAUACUCAAGUAGUAGAAUACAUUCAUGAGUAAUUUGAUCUUCAUUCACAUCCUCACUAGUUGUUGGCAACUCACAUACCAACGUAGAAUCACCUUAGUUCGCACAAGGGUCAACUAGUGUGUGAGUACUCUUGUCAAUUGGUAAUAGAACCUUGUUCAAGUUAUAAGGGCUAGCACUAGAUAGACAUAAAUCAAUCUUACAAAACCAAUCAAUUUCAUUAUCUAAAGGAUCAACUAGUGCUUGCGUACUUACAACAAGAGUUUAGUCCUCACGCAACCUAACAUCACCAAGAGUAUCACCAUAGGGAGACUCAAAUACCUCUACUCUAGGUAAAUUCGUAACUACAUCCAAUUGGCCACUACUAGCCACAACACAACAUUCUAAGUUCAUAGGAGUGUAAGGAAUAGUAUUUUUUACCUCGUAGCUCACAUGAGCUACGACCUUCCUCUUGACGUGUGUCCAGGCAGCCCACUUGCUCCCUUUGACCUAUCAUACGAUCCAACCUUUCAUUUGCCAUAACUAGGCAUCGGGACAUAGUGUCAAGGUAGGCUAAAAUGACAUAGGUGGCAUUGUUAUCCAUGGGUUGAGAGGUGGAAGCCACGAAUUUCCUUGUAAUUGUACCUAAAAAAAUAAAGAAAAGAACACCUACAAAAUAAAACACAAGUUAGUUCGAAACAACCUCACCACACUCUCGCACAAUUGAUCGUGUCACACUUGGUUUCACAAGUGUUGAAAGCCGUUUUGUACUUUGCGAGUGAUUGAGGGUCGAGUCUACUCUUGGCCGGAAUAGAUUUUUGUUUGAGUUGACUCAAGCAAAAUUUGUUACGGACUUGAACCAACAAGAUACAACGAUUUCACAAAAGAGAAAAGCACACAACAAAUGCGUAACACGAAUGAACGAACACAAAAAACUAACUAACAAUCUAGUAGAUAAGUACUAGUUUGCCAAUUAGUAUUGGAACCAACGAAAUUGAAACUAAGAAACAACAAAUAGAAACUAAGAAAUCUAAAAUUUGAACUUAAAUAUGUUGCAUGAACAGUAAAACAUGAUGAUGUGGGAGCCACAUACUGGUCUCGGUUGCACACAACUUUUGUUGUCCAAUUUCAAGUCUUGGUCAAUUUUUUAAUUUGAACUUUAGUGGAACUUGUUCAAUGGAGGGAAACACAAAGUAGUCUUUAGAGCUUUUUUUUCAAUUAAAAUUUCAAGACUCAGUCUUGGACUAGACUUGUUCUCCUCCUUAAAACAUGGAUCCUUGUUUUAUGGGAAAGUGGUUGAGAUGUGAUUGACUUGUUGGUGAGUGAUGGUAAGUCUUUCAAGACUAACAAAGUUCUCACACUUUUUCCUUCACCUUUUUGGAUCUAACUUUCACUUUAUUUUAACAAGGUAUGAAGGUUUGGAAGAACACUUCAACAAUCACCAAGAAAAUCAACAACAAUCUCCUAAGAACAAUAACAAGGUCAACUACAAACUUCCAACAAACGGCUAAGUCCUUUAGUGUGGUGUUUUGGUAUUAACAAGGGGUGAAGAUUGUGAUGAACAUUAAGAAUACAACAACUUUUUAAGAAUAGUAACAACACCAACAAUGUCCAGCCCAAGUCCACAAGAAAGGUCACCACACGACCAAGAACAACAACAUCAAUACACGACCAUUAACUUGUCACAACAACAAUCUCAACAAUUCAAGCUCAACUCAAGAUAUAGACUCAAUGUGUUAGUGAUGAAAAAAACUAACACUUAGAGACAACAAAGACAAGUAAAAAUCUCGGCCAAGACACAACAAAAACAUAAUUUUCGGCCAAGAACACAAAAUAGACAGAGUGCUCUCUUUCAUGGAUUUUUCAGUUUUCAACUAUUUUUUUGUAGUUUUCAAGUCUCAAGCCCAAGAUUGAUCUUGUUAGAACAAAAUCAACGAUGGCUUUGAUACCAAAUGAUACGGAAAAAACAACGGAAACAUGAAACAACUCAAAAACAGUCCACUAAUCUUAAGGAUUUAAGGACUAAGAUGUAGACCACUCUUGGAUUCACUACAACAACAACAAUACAGAUAACAAUGGUGCAUUUGACACCAAAAACAGCAGCAACACGAGUGAUUCCAUACUCAAGUUGAUUUCCCUAGUUACAAUUUCAGAUUUGUGCCUCAAGGAGAGAGGACUUGUCUUUUAAUGUUAUACGACAUUCAUCAUCAUCAAAAUCUGAUGAAUGAAUCCCUAGAAGGUUGUAUUUAUAGUGUAUUACAAGAAUAGUGUGAAAUGUCCAAAAUGACCCCUUAGUCAAAGUCUUCGAGUGGGAUCCCUUGGAGUGCAUUGUAUGGACUGAUUUUGGAGCCUAGUUGGUCACUUGAAUACUACUCCCUCCAUUUCAUAAUAAAUGAAUUGUUGAAUUUUGGCACACAUAUUAAGAAAAAAGCAUUAAUGACAUAAAUUUAACCCAACUUUCUAUUUUUACCCCAAAAAAAAGAAAAAGUUGACUUUGUAAUACCUUUUCAAAAGUUAAUUGGUUGUCAAAUCAUAAGGGCAAAUUUGAAAAAAAAAUUCAAUGAUUCUUUUAUUUUGAAACACCAAUAAAUACCCCAACAAUUCACUUAUUCCGAAAUGGAGGGAGUACUAAAAUAAAUCAUAUUAGUUGAAAAGUUUCCACCGCCUCAAAACCCUUAGUCAGCAACUUUAUCCACUUCAUUAUGUUAAUCCCUUGGAUGAAAAAUAAUUCUUAAGUCCAACUCCUAGGUAGCUGCCAAGGAUUUAAGUUUAUUUAACCCACCGCUUAAUGGAUUUGGCCCUAACACAAUGCAAAUAAAUCAUUUCAUACUCUCUAUAUACGUUAAGAAUCUUCUUAUAUUAAAUUCAUCCCAUAUCUAGGGAAUUUUUACUUUCUAAGUGACUUACUCAUCCAAGUACUUUUGAGCUCAGGAAGAAAUUAGGAUUCCUUGGGGAUUGUUCGAAACUCAUGGGGUUACUCUUAUUAGGGAAGAUCCAAGAAGACGGUCACCAGAAGGGCAUCGACGAUGUUACAUAUGAGAAAAAAUAAAAAAUUAAGGUAUGUAGAGCUAAAACCUUCUUCUCUAUAAAGGCACAAUGCUAGCUUACCCGUUUCUCCUAGAAGAGUUAACACAUGUUAUUUGUCAUGUAAGUAGAGCCUUUCUUAGUAAACGUCAAAUUUGGGCCUAUAUGUCUUCCCUAACCAAUUAUCUACACUCGUUCCUCACUCAAAACUACUCGUUCUCAUAGUUCACAUGUCUACUCGUUGAGGUCAUAGUAUUUAUAUUACCCUUUCUCAUCGGGUAUCUAUAAUGUUUUAUGUAAAAAAGACAUAUUACAUAGUUAUAGUAUAAAACAAAAGAGCUAACACUUGAAUUGGUGGAUAUUAUGGUCAAAGAAAUUAGUUGCUAAAAGGAUACUGCUACUUGAGUGCCUAAACAAUAUUUACUGUAAUAUAAUUGCAUAGGCCUAUAAGACACUAUUUGAUGAAGUUAAUGAUGGGAGGGUACAUAGGUUUGGCUUGGCAUAUCGCUCGACGUGAUUCUGCGUACAAGAUCGAGACCAGACCAUUAUAGUGAGCCCAAACAUUGUAGGGUACCCGCCCUUGGGGCAUCAUUUGUAUUUGGAGUCAGCUGGAAUGCCAUGUCUUGAUUUCCCCUGACUCGAGCCAACAUAUGGAAUAUAUGGCCUGCGGGCAGACCCUCAUAGUGAGCUCCUAGACGGGGUGUACCUGGAUACAGGCUGCGAUUACAGUUAUACAUAUGGGAUCAUAAAAAUGAGUAUGUGAGCAACAUAUGUUUUAUGCUUGCCUUAGAUUGCCUUCGGUAGGCCAUCAUGUGGUCAUUUGUAAUAGAGGUAGUUAUAAGACAUCACCUAGGAAAAUUACUAGGCAUUUCAUAAGAAUUACUAACUCGUAAGACAUUAUACGAUAGGUUAAUAAGACAAAUGCAUAGGUUUUAGUUCAUAUGAUGUACCUAUCAUUUGUAUGCUCAUAAGUUGUAGUUUAAGACUAGUGUUUCUAGUACUCAGUUGUCUAUACUUGCUCAUGUUGUUUUGAUUUAUUGAGCAUCCUUGUAUGUCUACUUGUUAUUCUGUCUGCUUUAUAUACUAGUACAUGUUGUAUAUGUACUAACAUCCCUAAAUCUGGGGGCACUAUAUUUUACAAAGCAGGGUCGAGUAUACAAGUUGGCCGACCUUCAUAUUAGGUAGUUGCAAUGUAUUCAGCGAAGCAGUCAGUAAGCUCCAUUCUUAUCAAGAGAUGAGAUCUCAUAGUACUCUUGGUCGUACUUCUGAUUAUAGUUUGGGUAUGUUGGGGACCUAUGUAACGCCCUGAAGUUUUUCUUAGCUAAAUUUUGUCCCUAAAAUAUCAAGCAUUGGCUUCUAGAAUGAUUUAUACCUUUUCUCGGUGGAAUCCCUAGAUUUUAACUUUUCAUGUCGUAGAUGAUUGAAUAAAUUUUCCGUCGACAUAAGAUGCAUCCAAAACAGACACUUGGUGAAGGAGUUAUGGUUAAUUUAAGUUCUAGUCGUAAAACACCGUCAUUCCUGUCCUUGGCGCAUCGUGAGGAGGGUGUAAAUGAUGAUGGUCAAUUUUUAGUGGGACUCCGUAAUGAUGGCGCAUCGCUGAGUGGGCCAAAUUCCCAUUCGUCAAUUUCCAAUGACCCACCGCGAUAGUGGCACGUCGCGGUGGCCCAUGAAAUCAGACUUCCAGUUAUAUUUUAAUAGCGCUCUCAUUAAGGGUAAAAUGAGUGUUCAGGAGUAUACUUUAAAGUUUAGUCAGCUGGCCCGUUAUGCUCCUGAGAUGACGAGUAGUAUGAGGGCCUGAAUGAGGAAGUUUGCUUCCGGUCUUUCAGAUAAUCUGGUGCUUGAGUGUCAGGGAGCUAUGCUGAAUAGGGAUAUGGACUUUGCUAGACUGUCAGUCCACAUACAGCAAGUUGAGGAGAAGAAGAAGAAGAAAGCCAAAUCUAAGAAAAAGGACAUGCAAGCAAAGAGAGCCAGAGCGACAAACCAGAGUCAUGAUCUGCAGCAGAGCGAUAAUUGGGGCAGAAAAUGGCAAAAGAAAAAGAAUUGGGGUAAUGCACAGUCGGCAGCUAGUGCUCCAGUGUCCAGACCCACAGCUGAGCAGCGCACCCAGAAUUUUUAGUCUAGUCAGGGGUCGAGGAUGCAAUGUACGCAAUCGCAGAGAAGUGAAGCCCAGACCUCUCGGUCCUAUCUGCGCUGUGGAAGAUGCAGGAAGAAUCAUCCAGAGAGAUGUCACUUUGGCGCUUUGGUGUGUUAUUCAUGUGGCCAGCUAGGUCAUAUCUAGAGAGACUGUCCGGCAGCAAAAAAAAAUGUUGGAGGAGCCAAGUCGCAGGCGAAUUCAUAUACACCACCACCUCAGAAAGAUGCCACUUCAGCCGCCAAAAAUGGUCAGAACCGGUUGUAUGCUUUGACCAACCUCCAGGAGGCAGAGGCCUCAUCAUAUGUAGUCACCGGUACGUUGUAAAUCUUUUCUCGUGAUGUGUAUGUAUUACUUGAUCUCGGGUCUACCUUGUAUUAUUUGACCCCAUACGUAGCUGUUGGUUUUGGGUUUGAGCCCGAUGUGAUUGCUGAACCUUUUUUGGUUUCCACCCGAGUAGGAGAUUCUGUUGUGGCUAGGAGGGUGUAUAAAAAACUUGUUGUGUCUAUUUUCAGCCGGGAUACUGAAGCAGAUCUUAUAGAACUUGAUAUGGUUGAUUUUGAUGCCAUCUUAGGGAUGGACUAGCUCUAUUCGUGCUAUGCAACCUUGAAUUGUAGGACCCGAAGAGUCAUAUUUUAUUUUUCGAAUGAGUCUGUGAUAGAAUGGGAGGGACAUUCUUUAGCACCUAGAGGGCACUUCAUAUCUUAUCUCAGGGCCCAUAAAUGCAUUUCCAAAGGUUGCUUGUAUUAUCUUAUUCCGGUUAAAGACUCUAGUGCUGAAAGUCUCCCUCUUCAAUCUGUUCUCAUAGUAAAUAAAUUCCCAAAAGUCUUUCCAGAUAAUCUCCCAGGAAUACCACCUAAUAGGGAGAUAUAUUUUGGUAUUGAUUUAUUGCCAGAUACCCAUCCUAUUUCUAUUCCUCCAUAUAGGAUGGCUCCUGCAGAGCUAAAAAAGUUGAAAGAACAGCUAGCAGAUCUUCUAAAUGAAGACUUUAUCCACCCUAGUAUGUCUCCCUGGGGUGCACCUGUACUUUUCGUUUGAAAGAAAGAUGGUUCCCUGCGUAUAUGCAUAGAUUACCGCUAGGUACAAAAGAUCACUAUAAAAAAUAAGUAUCCGCUUCCUAGGAUUGAUGAUCUAUUUGACCAACUACAGGGUGCUAAUUGUUUUUCUAAAAUAGACCUUCAUUCAGGAUAUCAUCAAUUGAAAGUUAGGGAGUCAGACAUUCCCAAGACAGUUUUCCGAAUCAGAUAUGUUCAUUAUGAAUUCCUAGUCAUGUUCUUCGGGUUGACUAACACCCCUGCAUCCUUCAUGGACCUAAUGAAUAGGGUCUUUCGAUAGUUUCUAGACUUGUUUGUCAUAGUUUUCGUUGAUGAUAUCUUGAUUUUUUCCAAAAGUAAGGAGGACCAUGCCAAUAACCUUCGAAUUAUCCUUCAUACCCUUAAAGAACAUAAGUUGUAUGCAAAAUUUUCCAAGUGUGAAUUCUGGUUGAAUGCUAUUGCGUUCUUGGGGCAUAUUGUGUCUAGUAAGAAGAUUAAGGUUGAUCCCCAAAAGAUUGAGGCAGUGAGAAAAUGGCCCAAACCCAUGACUUUAACCAACAUUUGAAGCUUCUUGGGUUUGGCGAGGUAUUACAGAAGAUUCGUCGAGAGUUUUUCUUCCAUAGCUGCACCACUUACUAAGUUGACUCAGAAAAAGGUGAAGUUUUUGUGGUCUGACUCUUGUGAGAAUAGUUUUGAGAAGUUGAAAGACAAGUGGACUACUACUCCUGUUUUGACUCUUCCGAAAGAUACAAAAGGUUUUGUUAUAUAUUGUGAUGCGUUCCGAGUGGGACUUGGGUGUGUUCUUAUGUAGCACGGUAAGGUAAUGGCUUAUGCAUUCAGGCAGUUAAAGGUGCAUGAGCGAAACUACCCUACUCAUGAUUUGUAGUUAGCGGUUGUGGUUUUUGCACUUAAGAUCUGGCGGCACUAUUUGUAUGGGGUACACGUUGAUAUAUUUACUGACCACAAGAGUUUACAGUAUGUUUUCUCACAGAAAAAAUUGAAUCUCAAACAGAGGCGAUGGUUGGAACUUUUAAAAGACUAUGACAUGAGCCUACACUAUCAUCCGGGCAAGGCGAAUGUGGUAGUCGACGCCCUCAACAGGUUAUCUAUGGGCAGUCUUUCUCAUAUGGGGAAAGAAAAAAAGAAGAUGGUAAAGGAUAUUCACUGACUCACAAAUCUAGGAGUGCGACUUUUGGAUUCUGAGGAUGGAGAAGUGGUUGUUCAUGAGAUACCUAAAUCUUCCCUUUGUCCAGAAGUUAAAGAGAAACAGGUUGAAGAUCUCAUCUUGAUGCAGAUUAAGAAAGAUGUGGGUCAACAAACGGUAAUGUCAUUUGAAAUUGGUGGUGAUGGUAUUUUGAGAUACCAGGGUAGGUUGUGUGUCCCAGAUGCAGAUGGUCUGAGAAAGAGAAUCCUUGACGAAGCUCACACGUCGAGGUAUGUUGUUCUCCCUGGCAUUACUAAGAUGUAUCAUGAUUCCAAAACCAUUUAUUAGUGGAAUAAUAUGAAGCGUGAUGUGGCUAAUUAUGUUGCUAAGUGUUUGAAUUGUCAACAAGUUAAACUAGAAUAUUUGAGGCCAGGUGGUUUUUCUUAAGAUAUAGCUUUGCCUUUGUGGAAGUGGGAGAUGAUUAAUAUGAGCUUUAUUACAUGACUUUAGAGGUCCCCAAACUAGUAUGAUUCCAUUUAGGUGAUUGUAUAUAGGUUGACCAAGUCAGCUCAAUUUCUACCUGUCAGGAUAAAUUAUUCAGGAGAGGAUUAUACCAAGAUGUUCAUUGCAGAAAUAGUUCAUUUGCAUGGGGCACCUGUGUCCAUCAUAUCUGACAGAGGUACACAGUUUUGGACAUCGUUUCAAAAGGGUUUAGGUACCCAAGUGAAUUUGAGCACGGCUUUCCACCCUCAGACAGAUGGAAAAGCUGAGCGCACCAUCCAGACCCUUGAGGAUAUGUUGAGGGCCUGCGUGAUUGAUUUUAAAGGUAGUUGGGUAGAGCAAUUACCAUUGAUAGAGUUUGCAUAUAAUAAUAGUUUCCAUUCCAGUAUUAAGAUGGCACCUUUUGAGGCAUUGUAUGGGAGAAGAUGUAGGUCCCCGAUAGGAUGGUAUGAAGUAGUUGAGAAGCAGAUAUUUGCGCCUGAUCUUGUUCAUCAGGAAAUAGAGGAUGUGAAAGUCAUUAGAGAAUGACUUAAGACAGCUCAGAGUCAUCAGAAGUCCUACGCCAAUGUUAGAAGAAGAGAUCUAGAGUUUGAGGUUGGAGAUUGGGUGUUUCUCAAGGUUUCUCCCAUGAAGGUAGUCAUGCGAUUUGGGAAGAAAGGUAAGAUGAGUCCUCACUAUAUAGAACCAUAUCAGAUUGUAAGAAGGAAAGGUGGAGUUACGAUGAGUUAGGAUUGCCAGCUAGUUUGGGUUCGGUUCAUCCGGUAUUUCAUAUAUCUAUGUUGAAGAAGUGUAUUGGAAACCAUUCUUUAGUAUUGCCUGUCGCAGAAAUCAAAGUGACAGACUACUUAUCCUAUGAAGAAGAGCCUGUAGAUAUUUUGGAUUGCCAAGUUAGAAGAUUAAGGAACAAAGAGAUAGCCUCAUUUAAAGUGUUGUGGAGAAACCAGAAAAUUGAAGAAGUGACUUGGGAAUCAGAAGUUGACAUGAGAGCUAUAUACCCAAACCUUUUUGAUCCAAUGUAUGACAAAAUAGAAGGUACAAUCCUUGACUUAAUCUUUCUAUGCCUUAGUAUGCUUGAAAUUACACUUGUAUGUAUCCCACGUCAACAUUCGGGGAUGAAUGUUCCCAAGGGGGGGAUAUUGUAACGCCCCGAAGUUUUUCUUAGCUAAAUUUUGUCCCUAAAAUAUCAAGCAUUGGCUUCUAUAAUGAUUUAUACUUUUUUCCUGGUGGAAUCUCUUAGAUUUAAACUUUUUAUUUUGUAGAUGAUUGAAUAAGUUUUCUGUCGACAUAAGAUGCGUCCAAAACGGACACUCGGUGAAGGAGUUAUGGUGAAUUUAAGUCCUAGUCGUAAAACACCGUCAUUCCUAUCCUUGACGCAUCACGGAGAGGGUGUGAAUGAUGAUGGUCAAUUUCUAGUGGGACUCCGCGAUAGUGGCGCAUCGCGGAGUGGGCCAAAUUCCCAUUCGUCAAUUUCCAGUGAGCCACCGCGAUAGUGACACGUCGCGGUGGCCCAUGAAAUUGGGAUCUCAGUUAUAUUUUAAUACCGGUCUUAUUAAGAGUAUAUUGGGUAUUUUCCCACACCCUUAUCAGUCCAAACACGAGAUUUCAACCCCAGAUUGAGCAUACUACUCAUACAUUCACCAAAAAUAUUCAAGAACACUCUCUAGGGUUCCAUAUUGAUAAUCCAAAUAAAUCAAGAUUCAACUGUGGGUUUUCAAAACAAAUUGAAGAUUUGGAAUCCCCAAGCCAUGGGCAUCAAGAAGCAUCCUUUAAAUUUCUAGAUAGAGGUACAUGGGGUUUACCCUAAAAAAAACUACAUGGGCUUAAAAUCAUUAGAGCAUGAUUUUAAGAUUUUUAUGCAUGAAUUUCAAAGGGGUUUUGGAAUCUAUGAUCUAAAUUACGUACUUCGAAUGUUUUAAUGUUACUAUUAUUUUGACCUUGUGGUCUUAUCUCUUCAAUUGAUUUACAUGUAUACGUAUAUAUAUGGAAUUUGAGAUUUAAGAUCGUUGAGAGCAUAAAUUAUGAACUCCCUCUCAUGUAUUGAAUUAAAGAUUAUGAUUUUGUGAUUUGAAAGAUGUUUUCGCAAUAUUAUAGCAUUUGAGCAUGAUUUGAAAUUGUUGAGAGGGUGUUUCUUGAUAUAAAUGUGUUCUUGUGUGAGAUAAUACAUUGAAACACUCUAAACUUGUAGCCAAAACUUACUUUAAACCCUAAACUAUUCGGGCAAUUAUUUAUCCCCCUUAACAACUUUCAAGUGAAUUUUUUUCCACCCUAAAAAAAUUAUACCACUCUCAAUACAGAGAGAAAAGUGCACGCGCCCCACGUAAUUGCCAAAUUAGUGCCAUGUCAUUGCCACAUAAGAAAUUGUAAUUUUUAAAAAAAUCCAAUAAAUAUAUUAUUUUUAUAUUUUUUUUUAAAAAGCAAAAAAUAUAUUUGUACUUUAUAUAUAUGUAUAUAUAUAUAAAGAACCCCCCCUACUAAUUCUUCUCCAACCCCCCCCCCCCCCCUUCUCCUCCUUCUUUAAUUUUUUUUUUACCAUUAACACCAAUAACUUGAUUCGAAUUUAACAAUAAAUUGAUAAAUAACUUGUUCAUGUAGAUUAAGCCAUGGCUCCUCUAUCAACAUUUAGAAAUCAACAAUUGCAAGUAGAACAAAAUCUAAAAUCAUCCACAACAAUUCCAAAUCUACCAAACGAUUUAGCAGCAAUAAUAGGGGGGAGAAAGAAGAUAAAGAUUGGGGGGUGUGGGGGGGGGGAGUGGGGGUGGGGGAAGGGAAUGGUUAUGAAGAAGAUGAUGAUGGAAGUGAAUUUUUGAUUAUUUUAAUCUAAUAUAUAUAUAUUAAUAAAACUUGUAAAAUUAAAAGGUGGGACCCAUCAUUUUCCAUGUUUUUAAAGCAAAUUACGUGCUGAUUUUUAAAAAAAUUGUCACGUCAGUAAUUAGGGUGGAAAAAAAUUCACUUGGAAGUUGUUAAGCGGGGUAAAUAAUUUCCCGAUUAGUUUAGGGUCUAAAGUAAGUUUUUGCUACAAGUUUAGGGGUGUUUCAAUGUAUUAUCUCAUCUUGUGUUUAAGAGAAAGAAUUACAUGUGAAUUGAGAACUUUGACAUGACCACCUUGUACUGUACUACUGAAAUGCUUGACAAAGAUGAGUUCCUUGCAUGUGUUUACAUGAGGUUUGAGAAAGAGUUUCUUUGAAUUGAAUUAUUGAAAUGGUGGUCCCAAAACUUGUCUUUCAAAAACAGAGAUCUACAAUAGACUAAUAAUGGCUCAGAAAUAUGACUUGCAAGUCAAUGGUAUAACGAUAACAUAUGUAUUUAUGCCAUAACAGAUUAUGUUUUUAGAGCAUCUUUUCAAAGUAUGUUUUCAGAGACUGUAUAUUUUGAUAGAGUUUUAAAAAAAGAAUUAAAGAGGGUUAGGUGGUUACCCGAAGAAGGCGCGAGUUCAAGCAACUCUUAGCCUAAAACCGUAUUUGCAAAUGCCCAUGUAAAUUCUUACUAUAUGAUGUACUUAUGAACUAUUUUAAGUUCUCUCAUAUAUAUUGAAUAAUAAAUGAUUAUUUGGAUAUGCUCUGCGUACCAGUACAUCUGUAUUGACCCCCCUCCCCCUACCUCUCAGGUUCUGAGACUCAGUCUAGGAGUCCAGAUAAGUAGUAGAUAAUUCAGAAAGCUGAUUAGAUUGUGCAGUGGUGAGCCUUCUUUAUUCCAGAAGGCCUGUCUUUUCAGAUUAUGUCACUUAUUUUAGUUUUUGGUCUACUGGGGGCCUUGUCCCAGUUUCAGACAGCUGUCAGAUUUUCAUGUAGUAGAGAUUUCGCAGGCUGAGUCAGAUGUUAUUUAGAUGUAGUUGAUUUACAGUUUCCAUACUUGUGUUGAAUUCAGAAUUGACCAUGUUUCCAUAGCAGAUUAUGUUUCCGCAUCUUCUUUUAUUAUAUGAAUGUUGUGCAUGAUUACCAGAUAGAAAAGGGCAUUUCGGGCCUUCAUGGUUCGGGAUGUUCGUCAUGGACAGGCCCUCGUUCGGGUCGUGACAACCUAUCUCGACCAUAUAGCAUUGUACCGUUAUAGAUUCUAUUAGAGGCUUAGUAGGAAAUCUAAAAUUAUCAUAUGCAACUAUAGUUUCAAUUGUUGACUGUGGUAGUGUGAAUAGUUGGAUAGUUUGACUUAUAUAUAGUUCCUCAUUACGAUUGCAUGUACAGUGACUCAUCCGCUUAGAACAAGUCAUUUGUAUAAUGUGUUCUUAUACGGAUCCUUCUCCACCUCGAUUAGUUUAAGGGCGUGACAUAAUUUUUUUUUAGUUUGAUUUAGAAUUUUAUAUUAUGGAUAAAUUAAGAAACCUUGCUAGUAAAGUGUCAAAAAAAUUAUUCCGAAAGUGGUAGUGGUAGUAAAAAAGCGAAUUACUAGCGGUAGAGGUAGUUCAAGUAGUAGAUAUACCCAUGUGUCUCCGGUACCGCUAAGUCAACCUUUUGAUGAAGAAGUAGGUGUAUGUGCUCACGAUAUGAAUUAUGAAGAAGCUUAGGAAAAUUACGGUAUAGAAGAAGAAAAUAAAGUAGAUGUGGUUAAUUUAGAUCUGAAUCGGUUAUCGCCCUCCCCGUCCUCUCCGUACCCCAAGAGUUCAUAAAACAACUAGUAUUGCAUGGCAAUUUUUUACACAUAUAGAAGGAGAGACUAAGGUGCAAUGCACUAUUUGUCAACAAGUAUAUGAGCAUAAAAGAGAAGGCAAUCAAGGGAGUACAGGUACGCCAAUGAGACAUAUAAAUGAUAAUUACGAAAGAGAGUUAUUUAUUACACGAGAUAAUGACGCUGUUAGUGGGACAACACAAACUAGAAUGGAUCCAACAACCGACCAGGUAAUUAAGAAUUAUAAUAUAUAUAGGGAUUGGGAAGAAAUAGCAAAAAUGGUAGUUGUGGGUUGUUUGUCUUUCAGUUUUCCUUCUUCGGAUACUUUUAUUCAUUAUAUUCAAGCAAUUUAUAAUCUUAUGUUUAUGGUAUUCCUAGAAGUACUUUUCGGGUUGAUAUUUUUAGACUUCAUUCGCAAUAUAUUUUUUUAUUUAUCUACGUUGUUAAAAAAUACUCAAUGUAGAAUGACUCUAACUUCUGAUCUUGGUCGUGCUAUCAAUAAAAAUAAUUAUUUAACCAUUACUGGAUAGAUAGUAAUUAUGUUGUGCAAAAAUGUAUUCUUGCUUUUUUGUAUGAUGUACAUCGUAGACAUACUAGAGAAUUUAUUGCUGAUUCGGUUAGUAAAGUUGCAGAAUUUUAUGGUAUUGAAAAAAAAGUCUUAUGUAUUGCUUUUGAUAAUACUUCUACAACAAGACUGCUAUUACAAAGUUAAAAGCUAAGCUCUCUCCGUCGUUACCUGAAAUAUUUUAUGUUAAGUGUGUUUGUUAUAUAUAUAAGUUAAUUAUAAGAGAUGGUCUUGAAUUUUUUAAGCUUUAUAUUAAAAAAAUUUGGCUUGUUGUUGGCUUUAUUCAAGGAAAUAAUCGAAGAAAAAGAAUUAGAGAAUUUAAAGUUAAAUGUCAAGAAAAUGGACUUAGACCGUUAUUGAUGCCUGAAGAAUGUGCUACUAGAUGGAAUGCUACGUAUGAUUAUUUAAAAACUUGUCAUGCUCAUAGAGUUCCUAUUACACUAACUUUUAACCAACAUUGUGGUUCAUUUGUUGAUUCAAUUGAAUGUAUGCUACAUGAUUCUGAUUGAGUUGUAAUUGAUAAUCUUGUUAAGUUUUUGGAAAAAAUUUAUAUAGCUACAGUUGAAUUUUUCGGUGUUUAUUAUCCUACUUUUUGUAAUAAUUUAGCAGAUAUAGACGAUAUUUGCUCAAAAAAUAUAAGAAUAAAGAAGGUUACAAAGAAGUUGUUGAUGCUAUGUUUGCAAAAUUUAAAAAAUAUUUUUUUCGGUUCCCCCUAUUUACUUGGUUGGUUUUAUACUAAAUUCAUGUAUGAAAUAUAAUACUAUGUGUCAAUUUAGUACUCUUAUUUAUUCUAACUUAGAGAUAAAUACUAACAAUGAUUCUGAUGAUGAAGAACAAGAACAACUAUAUUUGUAUACAGCUAUGAGUGAUGCGAACAUUUACAUAGAUAAAUUAUAUAACCAUUAUGCUGAUGUACUUGAUUUAGCUGUACGACAAAUAUCACUCCAACUGUCGUUCAUCCUCCUCCUGAGGAGCCAUCAUCUUCUAAAAGGCCGGCACAUAGUGGUUUUCAUGAUUACUUUUAUGAUUUAAAUGUUUGAAACAAUUUUGAGGAGGGAACUUACACAACAACUUCUCAGGAAGAGCUUAACUCAGCACAAUCAAGUCCAAUGCAUGGUUUUGCCCCCAUUGACUUUGACUAUCCUAAGAAAGUUUCCGUUAAUUUUAACAUGGAUGAGUUGAAAAAAAUGAUUAAAACUUUGUAGAUUUUCAUUCAUGUACAUUAUAAAUUUUGAAUCAUUUUGCAAUCAAUAAAAUAUAACAUUCAUUCACUCCUUAAUUUAUAAUUUUUUUAAUUUAAUGAUUUAAAUUGAACUUCUAGUUUAAAUCAAAUACUUAGUUUUAAUAUAUUACUAAUAAUUACUAUUAAGUAUUAUUAAUUUAUUAUAUCAAGUAGCAUAUUUUUUAAAGUAGUACAUAUAUUGAAUGGUACGUAUAUAUGUGUAUAUAUUUUCUAUAGAGUAUAGACUCUAAAGUAGUAUAUAUUUAACGUAUACAUGUGUAUAUGUUUUAUAAAUUAGUAUGUAUAUUGUAGUAUAUAUCUUGUAGUAUAUGUAUAUUUUUUAAAGUAGUACACAUAUUGAAUGGUACGUAUAUAUGUGUAUAUAUUUAUUAUAGAGUAUAGACUCUAAAGUAGUAUAUAUUUAACGUAUACAUGUGUAUAUUUUUUUAUAAAUUAGUAUAUAACUAUAUAUUUUUUUUUGUGCAUAUAUUGUAGUAUAUAUAUUAUAGUAUAUAUUUUAUUUAAAGUUGUACAUAUUUAUUGAAUGGUACGUAUAUAUGUGUAUAUAUUUUCUAUAGAAUCUAAAGUAGUAUAUAUUUAACGUAUACAUGUGUAUAUGUUUUAUAAAUUAGUAUAUAUAUAGUGUUAAUAUGUUGUAUGUAUAUUUUUUAAGUAGUACAUAUAUUAAAUGGUACAUAUAUAAGUGUAUAUAUUUUCUAUAGACUCUAAAGUAGUAUAUAUUUAUCGUAUACAUGUGUAUAUGUUUUAUAAAUUAGUAUAUAUAUAGUGUUUAUGUGUUGUAUGUAUAUUUUUUAAAGUAGUACAUAUAUUAAACGGUACGUAUAUAUGUGUAUAUAUUUUCUAUAGACUCUAAAGUAGUAUAUAUUUAAUGUAUAUAUGUGUAUAUGUUUUAUAAAUUAGUAUAUAACUAUAUNNNNNNNNNNNNNNNNNNNNNNNNNNNNNNNNNNNNNNNNNNNNNNNNNNNNNNNNNNNNNNNNNNNNNNNNNNNNNNNNNNNNNNNNNNNNNNNNNNNNNNNNNNNNNNNNNNNNNNNNNNNNUAUAAUAUAUAUAAUGUAGUAUAUGUUUUAUUUAAAGUAGUACAUAUAUAUUGAAUGGCACGUAUUUAUGUGUAUAUAUUUUCUAUAAACUCUAAAGUAGUGUAUAUUUAAUGUAUACAUGUGUGUAUGUUUUAUAAAUUAGUAUAUAUAUUGUAGUAUAUAUCUUGUAGUAUAUGUUUUAUUAAAGUAGUAUAUAUAUUUAACUAACGUAUAGUCGUAUACAUGAUUACAUGUGUAUAUGUAUAUAUGUUCUUAAAAUUCUAAUGUAGUAUAUACUAUAUAUAUAGUGUAUAUAUAUUGUUUAACAUAUUUAAAAUGUAUAUAGGUGGGUAUAUAUAGUGUAUAUUGGAGAAAAAAAUUUAAUUUUUUUUGUUUUGACCGAUUUUGACCGAAUUUUGAACCGAUUUUGAUCGGAUUUAGGCGGGUUGGACCGGAUUAGGGCUAAUGGGCCGGUCUCGGUUUUUUUUUUAAAAUCGGACCGGCCUGUUAAGCCAGGCUCAGAUUCGGACCGGCCCACAACACGGUUAAAAGUGAUGAGCCGGUUCUGAGUUGACCCGGCUCGACCCCAUUAACUGGCUUAUUGUGAACGUUAAUUUAUUACUUAUAAGAACCAACAAUUUUAAUCUUCCGUGCAUGAGUUAAAAUACUACAUACACAAAAUUAUCUAUUAUAUAAGCAAAGGACACACAUGUUAACAGAAUGAUCUAUUCAAAUAAAGAUUUUAUUAAUAUAAUAAAUAGUCUUUACAUGGAAUGAAAAUAUAAUACUAUAAUACAAACUACAUGGUUAAUAGUAUAUCCUAACAAUCUCCCACUUAGACUCAUAACCAUGAAUGCACAACUUUAACACCAUUUUCUUCCACAUGUUUAUCAUAAACCUUCUGGGUUAAGCCUUUUGUAAAUGGGUCCGUCAAAUUGUUCUUCGACUCAAUCUUCAAAACUCUCACAUCACCCCUUUGAGUUAUAUCCCAAAUCAAGUGAUAUUUGCUCUCAAUAUGCUUACUUUUUUUAUGACUUCGUGGUUCUUUCGAGUUUGCAACAGCACCACUAUUGUCACAAUAAAGUGGUAGUGGUGUUUGAAUCGAAAGAACAACUCCAAGCUCUUUCAAAAAAUUACCGAGCCAAACAACCACUUUAGCUGCCUCAGAGGCAGCUACAUAUUCGACUUUCAUGGUGGAAUCAGUAACACAUGAUUGCUUGAUACUCCUCUAAACAAUGGCUCCACCUCCUAAAGUAAACACAUAUCCUGAGGUAGAUUUUCUAGAAUCUUUAUCCGACUGAAAAUCUGAAUCAGUAUAUCCAACAAGUACAAGACUCCCAUAGUGAAAAACAAGCAUAUAAUUCCUAAUUCUUUUAAGGUAUUUGAUUAUAUGCUUAACCGCAGUCCAAUAUUCUUGCCCAGGAUUAGACUGAAAUCUACUAACCAUGCCUACCGCAAAACAAAUAUCAGGUCUAGUGCAUAACAUAGCAUACAUAAGACUCCCUACAGUUGAAGCAUAAAGGACUGCCUUCAUUCUCUCUAUCUCAUCGAUCAUUUUGGGUGACAGAUCUUUUGAUAGAGUAAUUCUAUGCCUAAAAGGAAGGAACCCCUUUUUGGAAUUUUGCAUGCUAAUUCUUGCAAGAAUAGUAUCAAUAUAAAAAGUGCUUGAGAUAAGCCUAAUAUCCUUUGUUUGCGAUCUCGCAUAAGCUUGAUUCCAAGGAUAUGAGCCGCUUCUCCCAAGUCUUUCAUAUCAAAACGCGAGGACAGUCACUCCUUAACAGAAUUCAACAUGCUCACAUUAUUUCCUAUGAGCAAAAUGUCAUCUAUGUACUAAAUAAAAAAUGUUACUCUGUCUCUAUCCCAUUUUUUAUAAACGCAUGACUUAUUUUCACAUUGAUCAAAACCAAAAGUCUUAAUCUAAUUAUCAAAACAAGUAUUCCAUGCUCUAGAUGCUUGUUUCAAAUCAUAAACAAAUUUCUUAAGUUUUACAAAACUUAUGUUCAUUACCACUUUUCAUGAAAUCUUCUGGUUGUGUCAUAUAAAUGCACUCGUCAAGACUUUCAUUUAGAAAAGUCGUCUUGACAUCCAUUUUUCAAAUCUCAUAAUCAUAAUGAUCAACAAUGGAUAAGAGAAUCCUAAUGGAUUUAAGCAUAGCUACCGACGAAAACGUUUUCUCAUAAUCAAUUCCUCCUUUUUGAGUAAACCCUCUCGCAAUAAGCCUAGCCUUAAAAGUUUACACUUUUUCAUCCACACCUCUCUUUUCUUAUAGAUCCAUCUACAUCCAAUGGGUUUGACUCCUGUAGGUGCUUCUAUAAGUUCCCAGACUUGAUUGGAAUACAUAGAUUCCAUUUCAGAUUUCAUAGUAGCAAUUCACAUUUUAGCAUCUUUGUCAUGUAGUGCUUCGGCGUAAUUAAGAGGUUCUGUAUUAGGCCCCUUAGGAAUUCUAUCAUACGAUUCUCCCAAGCAUAAAUCGUAAAGAUUUUCUAAUAAUUCUCCCACUACGAGGACUAGUCACUACGGAUCUGCUAUGUUUGAAACUAAAUUUUGAACACUCCCAAUGUCUUCCUGUACUAUAACAAAUUCCUCGACAUUAUCCUGAAUGUUUUUCUCCACAAUUACAGGCUACUCGACGUUACUCCCACUACUUUGAGGUAGUGUAAUGUCAAGUGUUUGCUCUUGUGCAACCUCUUGCCUAUUGAUAUUUCUCCCACUGCGUGGAUGCAAUGGUAUGUCAAUAAUGGUUUUUGGAAUUUAUUCUUGUGUUUCAUUAUUUCUUAUUCUAUUGCUCAAUUCCCGUAAAAUAAUUUUACUUCUAGGAACGUGGUUCAUUAAAUAAUCUUCUUCAAGAAAUCUGGCCUUUGUCAAAACAAUUACCUUUAGUUUCUGAGGACAAUAAAAUAAACCCCCUUUCAUUCCUUUUGGAUAUCCAGUAAAAACGCACACUUCUAUCCUAGAUUCCAACUUAUCAGGGAUAGAUUCCAACUUAUCAGGGAUAUUUGGAUUCCAACAUAUCCCAAAUCCGAAUAUGUCGUAGACUAGGAUUGCGCCCACUCCACAAUUUAGAUGGGGUUAAAAGUACUAAUUUUGAAGGAAUCAAGUUCAGAAUACAAUUUAUAGUUUCUAAUGCAUAACCCCAAAAACAAAAAAGGCAAAUAUAAAUAACUUAACAUUGAUCUAACCAUUUGCAAAUGAGUUUUAUUUCGUCGUUCUGUCACACCAUUUUGUUGUGGUGUUCCCGGAGCAGAAUAUUGAGAUAUAAUUUCUAAUUUUGAUAAAUAUUUAAUGAAUUCCGCAAAAAGGUAUUCACCACCACAAUCAGAUCGUAAUAUAUGGAUAUGUUUGUUUUGUCGCUUUUCUGUUUUCAUCUUAAAUUCUUUGAAUCUUUCAAAGCAUUCAUAUUAACGGCACAACAAAUAAAUGUAUCCAUGUUUUGAGUAAUCAUCUGUGAAAGUAACAAAAACUCAAAACCACACUUGUUUGUACAUUCAUAGGACUACACAAAUCAGUAUAAAUUAAUUCUAAAUUAUUACCGGCUCCAUUUUCUUUGGAAGGAAAAUGUCUCUUGGUCAUUUUACCAUCUAAACAGGAUUCACAAGCUGGAAGUGUCUCCACUUCCAAUAAACUCAAAGGUCCAUCAGAAACCAACCGUGAGAUCCUAUUUAAGUUAAUAUGACCUAGACGUAAGUGCCAUAAGUAUGUUUCACUCAAUUUCGAAAUACGUUUCCUUUUAAGUGAUUGAACAACAUUAUUAAGUUUUAUUUUUUUGUAGCAUAUUAUGGGAAACCUCAAAUACAAACAAGUCAUGUAUUCUAGGAGCAGAAAUAAUAAAAUGUUUAUUAAACAUAAUAAUUGCACAAUUAUUAACAAAAUAAACAUUAUAACCAACAUCCAUUAUUCUUGAAACUGAAAGUAAAUUUCUUCUUAUAGAAGGUACGUAAAGAACAUUAUUCAGUCUUAAAACUCUAGAACUACUAAACGAAAUAGAAAUAUUUCCUAUAGCUAAGGCUAGUGCUAGUUCCCCAUUUGCUUGAAACACAUUCAGUUCAUUUUCACUUAGACGUCGUGUUUCCUGAAACCCCUGCAAUGAAGUGCAAAUAUGAUUAGUGGCUCCCGAAUCUAUAGCCCAAAAUCGGGUAGAAACAGCUGCUAAAACUGUUUCAACGACAUAUGAAAAAGAUGUACCUUAUUUUUGUAUCUUUGCUAUGUAGUCGGGACACUGUUUCUUAUAAUGACCAGGUUGCUUGCAAUGAUAGCAUUUGACCUUAGGUUUAGACACACUACCAUUAGCACUUGAAACCUUACGAGGCUUUUUUUUUCUUUUGGCCUUUCAGCUUAGAAAUCGAAGCUGAAGGUUUGUAACCAUUAAUGCCGCAUGAGGAGCUUAUUGCUUAAUAAUAGAUUUUGUCGCUUGCAGCUCAUUCAACAAUUUCACAAGAGAUAAGUCCGUCUUAUUCAUGUUAUAAUUCAAGCAAAACUACAGAAAACUGUCCGACAGAGUCUGCAGGACCAUCUCAACUCUAGAUUCCUUAUCAAUAACCGCACCAAGAAUUUCCAGCUCAUUUAACAAACCAUCAUUUUAAGAACAUAUUCCCUUACCAAAGUUUCUUCAACCAUUUUUGUGGUCAAAAGACCUUUCAUGGCCGUCUGCUUUGCAGCACGAUUUUGCUCACCAAACAUCUCUUUGAGAGAUUCAAGCAUAUCAUAAGCAGUAGUCUUGGACUGAUGUUGAUGCCACAACACAUUUUCCAUAGAGGCAAAAAUGUAGCAUCUUGCCAUCUCGUCAGCCUUGAUCCACUUAUCAUAGACUUUAAUCUCAUCAUCAGUGGGGUCAUCCGACUUAACAGGACAUUCCUCAACCAGCACAAAUUUAAAGCCCUCAGAAAUAAGAACAAUAACUAAUUACGUUUUCAGUCCACAUAGUUAGGACCUUCUAGUUUAUUUUGAUUCAAGAUAGAAGUGAAGGGAUUGAACAAAGACAUGGUUAAUCUGUUAUAUAAUUCAAUUAAAAACAAAUCAUUCGACAUGUUGUAGAAUAAUAAAAUUCUUUAAAAAAAAACAUCACAUAUAUAACCAUGCACAUAAACAGUUAGAAUCGUUAGUGAAACUUAACCAUUUAACCAAAUAUACAUGUAAUGUCAGAUAUUUUAUCUCUUAAAUAAAACAGAACUAACUCAGUUAGAGAGUAAACUGUUGAUUUAAGUUAGAUAAAUAUAACAUUUCAUAAGUCUAUUUACUAUUGAACCAACAUGUAACUUAGUUGGAAAGUUAAUACAAGUUAUAAAAAAUAAGAGACUAUAAAACAAUAUUAAACUAUACAAGUUUAUCUGAU